CUUCGUAAGGGCAAUGACAUAUAUGAAAAUACUGGGAAAGGUCUAAGUGUAACAAGAGACAUGAAAAUGUAAAUUCUAGACAAGCUGGCACAAGAAAUGUUUGCCCUGAAAGCCUACCCUGACAAACAUCAAAUUGAAUCUGUUGCUUUUGAACUUGUCAGUAAAUAUCCAUGCCUUAAGGAGCCUGGUAGUGGCACAGGAUACGACGGCUGGACAACAAGCAUAAAGUAUAAGUUUGGAAACUACCGAUCAAAGCUGCGCCAGGCUGGCUGUAAUGAGGUCAGUGUAAACAGGAAAAGAGGGAGGGAUGAAGAUGUUGAUGAGGGUAGGUUUUCCUUGAAAAAAACAAAGUGAGGUGAAGUCAAUCAUGUGCCGGAUCAUCCGGAAAACUAUGAUGAUGAUGCACUCGAAGACCAAAGAUGUGUCCUGGUGGAUGAAAUGAAAAAUACAGGAAAGACAUGGAACUCAUCGGACAGAAGAUGAACCUCACAUUCUCUCUCAGGAGAAAGGAGAUUGUCGAGCUAGAGCCCAUGGUCACGGAAAUCCACGAGAAAUAGCCUGCUCUGUUUCUUGAAAAACAGGCAAGACAGAUUUUCUUUAAAUAUAUUGUAAUAUUAAGUAAUGUUUAUUUUUGAGUGCUUUUCAAAGCAAGGAUGACCACAGUGUCUUCCAUUGGAUUAUUCAGAGUGCUACUGUGUAAGCAAUAGUUUUGUGACAUCAAAAGUUUUGGUUCUUUUUGACAUUUUCAUACUCACCAUGUAGAUCAGAUUAACAUCAUUGAAGAACCUGUUGGGGACCUUUCGAGCAGCCUUAGACAAGUACUGUCCUCGACUGCUUAAACUCUAUCGUGCCAGGAAAGGAGCCUUUGGACAAGACAUGGAAAGCCUCUUGGAUAGGCUUGAUGAACAGGACACUGAUCCAGAUGAUAGGCAGACCGUAGGUGCCAAGAUGGGUAUCCUCACUGUCCUCGUAGAUGAUGAUGCACCUACCAUGUUUCCGACAGUCAACAGUAUUGCUGUUUGUAAAAUAGGCGUUGGUGUAAUGGAUACCAAACUUGUGACCUUAGUGAUGCUGAGUGAAUGAACCCUUAGAUGAUGGUUCUAUGAAUGUCAUUUACAAUCUCCACAGGUUGUCCGGUAAGAACAUGAAUAUGAUGA
Molecule: long non-coding RNA, 1157 nt
Organism: Sebastes umbrosus (honeycomb rockfish)
Lineage: Eukaryota; Metazoa; Chordata; Actinopteri; Perciformes; Sebastidae
Exons: 2
Source: RefSeq, a predicted model, not a curated record